Clupea harengus (Atlantic herring) is the source of this 3607-nucleotide long non-coding RNA. Lineage: Eukaryota; Metazoa; Chordata; Actinopteri; Clupeiformes; Clupeidae. The record is from Ensembl.
CCCUUUUGUGUCCAACGUGUGUGUGAACGUUAGCUACGCUGUCUGUGUCAUAUGCCAUUUAAAGUCUGUGUGUGUUAGCCCCUAUGUUAGUUAGCGUCAAAGAUAGACCUGUCUUCUGUCUCACUCAGCAUGUAUCAGUGUUUCCUUGCCUGUUGCUUCAAAAUAAAAGGCCUGCAACCAAAAGACAUGAUGAUUGCAAGUUGUCUUUUUUGAAGAACCCACCAGCGCUAGAGGCAAGAUAUUGCUAUUAUUAUGUGCAAAUGAAAUGUAAAAUGUGCAUUGUGCAUUUCCACUCUAAGAGGAGUCGUCUCCUCUCGCGGCACAGAGGGGAGUCAUUGUAGAUGGCUGUUGCAGUGGACAGGAAUGACCUCCUGUAAUGGUCCUUAUUGCAGCGGAGCUGAAGGAGCCUCCAACUGAAACACUGCUGUCUGACCAGUAGGUUGUGUAGGGAGUGUGUAGUGUUGGCCAGCAUGCGCAACAUCCUUCUCUCCACAGCCAACUCUAGGGGCUCCGGAACAGUCCCCUGCACAGAGCCAGCCUUCUUUUAUCACUUUGUUCAGUUUCUUAGAGUCGCUGGCUCAACAUAUGUCUGCAAAGUAGGGCUGUUGAUCAAUAAGAACAAUAACUGAUUAAUUGAAUAAUUUGCAAUUUUUUUCCCCUUAAGACUGAAGCUUGUAAUAAUGGAUGUUUAUAUAAAGCACAUAAUUAAUGUAGAAUCAACACAGAGGAAGUAUAUUCAAAUUCAAAUACUGUUGUUUGUUAGCGUUUGUUUUGACGAAUGCUUUUUAUUGCUGUAACGGUAACGUUCCACAAUGCAUCGCACAAAAAAGGCCUGAAUGCCGCGCAGACCGCUAAGUGCCCGGCGUGCGCAGGAACAGCGGCAGCGUGAAGUGGCUGAGCAUAACGCACAGACAGUGCACUUGCGUUCUCUGCCGGUCCACCAUACCUAAUGGGCCUUGAACUCCGUUAUCAAAACUCUCUGAGCACAGACCGAGGGAGGGAGAGAGAGAAAACAGCACAUGAGAGAGAGAGAGAGAGAAAGAAGAAAGAAACAUUAACUUGCAUAGUUCAAUUAUUUCCUCCAGCUUUUGCAGUUUGGCAAGCUCCUCUGCAGUCAACACGGCAGAAGAGAAAUGUCUUGCUUCUUUGCUGUUUUGCUGAGCCAUUGUAGUGGUCAGUGAUAGGUGAAAAUUCACCCUAGUUACCUCAGGACUCCGGAGCUGCAUAUACUGUAAGUAUAUUUAUUAGACAAACAACAAUUGCAAUCGGGCUCACUCCCAGCACAAGGCUGAAAGUGAAGCAAUAUUAAACACAUCGCACAAGGUUUAUAUAGACAGAAGUUUAGCGUUCAGUAGGGAUAACCACGUGAUGGACUUCUGACGUCCGUGGAUGGAAGUUUUGCAAGGUCGGAAGAAGCACAGUUCGACUCUUCUUAUCACCUCUGGUCUAAACAUGCUCUUGUACAUAUGCAGACUAAGUGGCACCUAAUAUUCUAAGUUACACACACGCAGAAACACAGAAAAGCCAUGUUCCUGCUUACAUAAGUACAUGAUUCAUAUAAGGUAAUUAAUAAUACAAGGCACUUGAUUAUUAUAUUCUUAAGUCAUUAACAGUGUUUGGAAAUGAUCUCCAUCAGUCAGUGGAGAUUUUUUUCACUGGACUCGCUUGACCAUCUCUAGGGUAGAAUUCCAUCCAGUUUCCACGUCCGGAACAAAUUAUGCUUGCUUCGGUCCAAGUGUAGCUUGCUGAUCUCUUCCUGACCGCUUGAUGGACUGUGCUUAAAGUGAUCGAUAAUCUUGCCUGGAACACUUGGCAAAUCUUGCCAUUUGGCCAGAACACUUUGGUGAAGGGAAAGCAUGACUGUCCUUUGCUGCCUGUGGGCCAUGCGGGGUCGGUGUUCAGAUGGAAGUACUCUUGCUGCCUGUGGGCCAUGCGGGGUAGGUGUUCAGAUGGAAGUACUGUUGUGGCUGCAACCAUGUUAUUAGAACCAUCAGUGCUCAGGAGGGUGUUUUGCUUUGAGGUGAUAUGUCAAAGACGAGUUGCUUCUGUGGUUAUUAAAAUUCGGCUUUGCAAACUGUGCAGAAAACUUUUGUUUUCUCCAAAGAUCCAUCGGGCAACUUUUUAGUGAAACUUUCCUCUUAAAACUCCAUCCUUGUCCUUAUCCAUCUUUAGGCAAGGGUUCGGGGUGACGGCACACAUCUUCACAGGUCAUAUGUCAGCUGUUACAGAAAGUAAACAAAAUGCAGCUGUGUUAAUUGUGUCCAUGUUUUCAGAGAGAGAGACAAGGAAAGGAACAAGGAGGGAAGUAAAAGAAGACAAAGAAAGCAGAAGUGGAAGAAAAGGCUGAAAAAUAACAAGGAAAACAGGAGAGAGAACGAGAGUGGAGACACAGAGAGAAGAGCUAGCUGAUAAAGAAAAGAGACUUAACUGAUGGCCAGAUAAAGGAAAAGAGUUCAAGAAGCCUUCAUUUUGGCAGUCACUCUUAUUCACAUGUAAACUACACUAGCACUGACUUCCUGAAGUAGGUGGCAUAUUAUUAACAAUAACUGCAUGCCUGGAGAGAGGUGAAGAGUAGAGCACACAUUUAAAAAAGAGAGAGAUGUCACAUUUUGCCAGAUAACAGUGCUGUUGAAUUCUGAAACCAGAGCAGCUAUCCAGACAUCCAGCCAGGCAGCCUGGAACGCAGCACUGCAGGAGGAGCGAGUGAGUGGCCCCCUCUCGAUCUGGCCACCAACAGACAGACAAGACAGACAGACAGACAGACAGGAAGGUCAGAUAACUGCAGUGUCAUCUGAAGUGUCCUGGCUGAGAUGGGAAGAGUCUUCUGCAGGCUUGCUUGGUGUGUGAGUGUGUGUGUAUAGAUCUUUACAGAUACAGCACGAUUUGUUGUUACGGUUUUUCUGUGCAGCAAUACAUAUUUUGAACGAGUAUCCCGUAAAUUAACACUUUCACAUCAAAGACUAAUGUUUAUGUGCAGAAAAGCGAAAUUUCGAAUCAUUGCGAAUCAAUUUUUUGUCAACAGAAUAAAUGUUUUUUGUGGACGAAUCUGAGGGACACCUGCGUGAGGAAGGAGAGAGAAGAGGGCAACGUAGGAAGGGGUCAGGCAGUGAGAUAGCGGAAAAAGAGUUGGAAGAACAUGGACACGAUGUCUUUUUUUAGACCACUCCACUGCUUUUAGGAGGUGCACAACUGGUAACUUGAGAGUUAUAUAGACUACAUUUGUGUCAUUGUUAAGUAACACUACCUAGGAACCCGUUUCUUUGUAAUAGCACCCAUAACAGCCUAGACAGUGAGAAAGGCUAGGAGGCAGAGGUAGACUCAGGGAAAGAGUCUGACCACUCAGGGAGUAAGGGAGAGGUGGCUGGCCACUCAACCGCCGGCCACUCAAGGAGAGGAAGAGUGAAGGGCUCCUUGAGGACUCUUACGGAAGAAGAGAAAUGCUGAGAGAGAGAGAGAGAGAGAGAGGCAGAGGGAUGAUGUCUGCCUCUUUCUGUUAAGUUUCCCCCCUGCCAUGAGGAAACUGCCUGCAGAGAGGCAGUCCUGGGUUAAAGUUAAAAUGCAGGAAAUCCUUCAUGAUAGAGAGCUUGGUAUGAUGUACAGCAUACCC